Long non-coding RNA from Sardina pilchardus (European sardine), 210 nucleotides. RefSeq lists it as uncharacterized. The transcript is spliced from 3 exons. The record is from RefSeq and is a predicted model, not a curated record. NCBI's taxonomy places the organism in Eukaryota, Metazoa, Chordata, Actinopteri, Clupeiformes, Clupeidae.
CCUGAUGACACUCCCUGUUCCUUGAUGGUAACCAUGGCUGCUGCCCUCAACGUGGUGGGUGUGGACUAUAGGAGCCCUCAGAAAUAAACUGAUAUCAAUAAUUAAUAUGGAUGGUGAUUGUGGCAAGGGUGCCUCCAUAAGGUGCCAUCCAGAAGCCCCAGCCUGGAGCCAGUGGCUGCUAUUGCAAGACUCAUGGGGGAUGAUCUGCAG